Molecule: ribosomal RNA, 468 nt
Filed under: uncultured bacterium
Lineage: Bacteria
Description: partial 16S ribosomal RNA
Rfam family: Bacterial small subunit ribosomal RNA
Source: RNAcentral
GACGAACGCUGGCGGCGUGCUUAACACAUGCAAGUCGAACGGAAAGGCCCUGCUUUUGUGGGGUGCUCGAGUGGCGAACGGGGGAGUAACACGUGAGUAACCUGCCCUUGACUUUGGGAUAACUUCAGGAAACUGGGGCUAAUACCGGAUAGGAGCUCCUGCUGCAUGGUGGGGGUUGGAAAGUUUCGGCGGUUGGGGCUGGACUCGCGGCUUAUCAGCUUGUUGGUGGGGUAGUGGCUUACCAAGGCUUUGACGGGUAGCCGGCCCGAGAGGGUGACCGGCCACAUUGGGCCUGCGAUACGGCCCAGACUCCUACGGGAGGCAGCAGUGGGGAAUAUUGCACAGUGGGCCGAAGCCUGAUGCAGCAACGCCGCGUGCGGGAUGACGGCCUUCUGGUUGUAAACCGCUUUCGCCUGUGACGAAGCGUUAGUGACGGUAAUGGGUAAAGAAGCACCGGCUAACUACGUG